AUUCAACCCAUUGGGUAUAUUUUAAAAUAGGAAACGACAGUUAAUGUUAAUAUACCAAUACUUAAAAUAUGAUCCAAUUUAUCCUUUAAACUGUUUACAAAUAGGAUAAAACAUUCUAGAUAUCAAUCCAAAAAUGGUCAGAGGAGUAGAGAGUUUUACGAGAUUACUUUAGGGGGCACAGAAGCAAAAAAAAUUCUCAAGACAGCUACUCUAGGGUGGAAUUGCUGGAUCUUAAUGUAUUGAAGGUAUUAAUCUUUAUGGGAUAAAGUCAAGUUAUUUCACAGGAUGAUUGUACCAAUUUACACUCUCUCCAGAAAUCCAUUUUCUUUGCUAAUAGGUCACUUGAAUUUACUAAUGAGUUAGCUGAAUUUCCCAGGAGUAGGAAAACAUUUCUUUUUGCCAACUCUUCAGUGUUCAUGGAGCUCUGCUCCUUGGUUAAUGCCAAAGGCAAGAGCUUCAUCAAUUUUGACCUUCAUGUAUUCACCAAGUGUUUUUGCAACCCCCUAGCUUUGGUUUACACCGUUCCCUCCCCUGGGAUGCCCUCUCCAUCCACCUGCCACCAGUCUAUCACCUAUGCUUCCGGUCUGAUCUUAAAUGUCAUUUCUUCGGAAAGUCUUUCCACAACCAUGCUCCCUAAAGUUUCCUAAUUCUCCACCACAGAACCCUGUAGAGUUUAUACGAGUUAGGAAUGAUAUAUUUGCUUCUUUGCUCAUAUGUUAUCUAUCUCUUCCACUGGAUUGUAAGCCCCUUGAAGGCAAGAACUGUAUCUGUUUUAUUCACCUACCUAUGCCCUAUCAUUUAGUAUAGCUCCUGAUACAUAGCAAAAUCUCCAUAAAUAUCUACUAAAUAAACAAAUGAAUGAAUUUUUUUCAGACUGAAGCAGACAUCAUCCCUAAUCCAGUCAUUGGUGGCUUUGAGCAGGAUGUGGCAGGUGUUUCCACGAAUAAAAAAAUGGCUCUGGUCCUGCUGUCACCACCCAGCACCCACCGAGUCUAUCCACAGCUUCUCUCACAGGCCAAGGGCCGCACCCCAGAUCUGGCCUGGCCUGGAAGGGCAGGAAAACAACAGGCAAAGAGGUAAAGAGAGCUGGAAGCCAAGCCUAGAUUUCUCCUGUAAACCUUGGGCUCCUUCAAAUACACCUCAGCUGCUUCAAACUGAACAGAUCUGACUCUCUGAGACCUCACCGAAAAGGUGAUCUUCUUUUUAUUCUAAGUGUCAGAGCUCUUUGUCUUUUACUUUCAUUCAUCAUUCUUAUUUUGAUAAUUUAACCUCAAAAAUUUAACCUCGGGGAUCCCUGGGUGGCGCAGCGGUUUGGCGCCUGCCUUUGGCACGGGGCGCGAUCCUGGAGACUCAGGAUCGAAUCCCACAUCAGGCUCCCGGUGCAUGGAGCCUGCUUCUUCCUCCGCCUGCGUCUCUGCCUCUCUCUCUCUCUCUGUGACUAUUAUAAAUAAAUAAAAAUUAAAAAAAAAAAAUUUAACCUCG
RNAcentral lists this long non-coding RNA (1482 nucleotides) under Vulpes vulpes (red fox). Its description in RNAcentral is "lncRNA (ENSVVUG00000015059.1)". The record is from RNAcentral. Lineage: Eukaryota; Metazoa; Chordata; Mammalia; Carnivora; Canidae.